CACGCCCUAAACGAUGUCUACUAGUUGUCGGGUCUUAAUUGACUUGGUAACGCAGCUAACGCGUGAAGUAGACCGCCUGGGGAGUNACGCGAAAAACCUUACCUACCCUUGACAUGUCAGGAACCUCCGAGAGAUUGGAGGGUGCUCGAAAGAGAGCCUGAACACAGGUGC
This 171-nucleotide ribosomal RNA is filed under the name uncultured bacterium. RNAcentral describes it as "partial 16S ribosomal RNA". It matches the Rfam family "Bacterial small subunit ribosomal RNA", at positions 796 to 946 of the family's 1533-position model. The record is from RNAcentral.